AACGCACAUUGCGCCCUAUGGUAUUCCGUAGGGCAUGCCUGUCUGAGCGUCAGCUCCCACCCACUCAAGUCUUUUUAGAUUUGGAUUACCUUGAGGAAGUGUCAUUUUUAUAGUGCUGCUCCUCAGAAAUUCAUAGGCAAUACGGCAAAUCCUGAACCGGGCGUAAUAAGGAUAUAAAAUCGUCAAGGCAGGCAAUCUGUAUUAGUCUUUAACCCCCAAUUUACUUAUAUUUGGGUGACCUCAGAUCAGGUAGGGAUACCCGCUGAACUUAA
RNAcentral lists this unclassified non-coding RNA (272 nucleotides) under uncultured Pezizales. Its description in RNAcentral is "partial contains 5.8S ribosomal RNA, internal transcribed spacer 2, and large subunit ribosomal RNA". The stretch from base 1 to 52 matches the Rfam family "5.8S ribosomal RNA", at positions 103 to 154 of the family's 154-position model. The record is from RNAcentral. Lineage: Eukaryota; Fungi; Ascomycota; Pezizomycetes; Pezizales.